UCUUCAGUGUACAUGAAGUAAGGGGCA
RNAcentral lists this non-coding RNA (27 nucleotides) under Rattus norvegicus (Norway rat). Lineage: Eukaryota; Metazoa; Chordata; Mammalia; Rodentia; Muridae. The record is from RNAcentral.